RNAcentral lists this ribosomal RNA (435 nucleotides) under Dacus sp. nr. vertebratus PTS-2001. Its description in RNAcentral is "partial 12S ribosomal RNA". The record is from RNAcentral. Lineage: Eukaryota; Metazoa; Arthropoda; Insecta; Diptera; Tephritidae.
UACUAUGUUACGACUUAUCUUACCUUAAUAGUAAGAGCGACGGGCGAUGUGUGCAUAUUAUAGAGCUAAAAUCAAAUUUAUAAUCUAUAAAAUUUUACUAUCAAAUCCACCUUAACUAAAAAUAUUUCAUAAUUAGAUCCGUUUAAAUAUAUUUAUUGUAACCCAUCUCUACUUAAAUAUAAGCUACACCUUGAUCUGAUAUAAAUUAUAAUUAAAAUUAUAGAAAAUUAUUUUUCUAAUAAAAUAUUCUGAUAACGACGGUAUAUAAACUGAAAACAAAUUUAAGUAAGGUUCAACGUGGAUUAUCGAUUACAGGACAGGUUCCUCUGAAUAGACUAAAAUACCGCCAAAUUUUUUAAGUUUCAAGAACAUAACUACUACUACCUUAGUGUUUUAAAUUACAUUUUAAAUAAUAGGGUAUCUAAUCCUAGUUUA